AUUGAACGCUGGCGGCAGGCCUAACACAUGCAAGUCGAGCGGAUGAAGGGAGCUUGCUCCUGGAUUCAGCGGCGGACGGGUGAGUAAUGCCUAGGAAUCUGCCUGGUAGUGGGGGAUAACGUCCGGAAACGGGCGCUAAUACCGCAUACGUCCUGAGGGAGAAAGUGGGGGAUCUUCGGACCUCACGCUAUCAGAUGAGCCUAGGUCGGAUUAGCUAGUUGGUUUGGUAAAGGCCUACCAAGGCGACGAUCCGUAACUGGUCUGAGAGGAUGAUCAGUCACACUGGAACUGAGACACGGUCCAGACUCCUACGGGAGGCAGCAGUGGGGAAUAUUGGACAAUGGGCGAAAGCCUGAUCCAGCCAUGCCGCGUGUGUGAAGAAGGUCUUCGGAUUGUAAAGCACUUUAAGUUGGGAGGAAGGGCAGUAAGUUAAUACCUUGCUGUUUUGACGUUACCAACAGAAUAAGCACCGGCUAACUUCGUG
RNAcentral lists this ribosomal RNA (484 nucleotides) under uncultured bacterium. RNAcentral's name for it is "partial 16S ribosomal RNA". It matches the Rfam family "Bacterial small subunit ribosomal RNA", at positions 30 to 507 of the family's 1533-position model. The record is from RNAcentral.